UACUAAUACCCGUGCUCCCUACUUCUGAAGUGUCUCAGCGUGCUGUGAUCAAUGAAUGGACAAUCCAAAUGCUGAGAGAUCAUUUAGUUGGAACGUCCUCGGGGUGGAACAGUGACUUGUGCCUGAAACUGCCAUCGUUGCAGACUGCUUGCUGCUUCCUUCACUUGAGGAUUUCAAGUUCCUUCCUUGACAAUGAAGAUGCAGUAAGCAUGGACUGUUUGCAGGUAUUUGUGAAUGAAUUUAGCUGAAUAUGGAUCCAGGUGGUGGAAGUCUUGGGCUGCAAGCGCAAGAAUCCAAAAUGCCUCACACUAUGAUUAUGCAGGACUUUGUGGCUGGAAUGGCCGGCACUGCUCAUAUUGAUGGAGACCAUAUCGUUGUGUCAGUCCCCGAAGCUGUCCUAGUGUCCGAUGUUGUUACUGAUGAUGGAAUAACCCUGGAUCAUGGCUUAGCAGCUGAAGUUGUCCAAGGACCUGACAUCAUCACUGAAACUGAUGUUGUAACGGAAGGUGUAAUUGUUCCCGAUUCUGUUUUGGAAACUGAUGUUGCUAUCGAAGAAGCUUUAGAUACCAGCGAUCAUGUUUUGACUUCUGAUCUAAUAACAGAAACUGUUAGAGUUCCUGAUCAGGUGUUUGUGGCUGAUCUUGUUACGGGUCCUGAUGGACACUUGGAGCACGUGGUGCAAGACUCUGUGUCGGGAGCCAACUCGCCUACAAUGGUUUCGGAGGAAGUCCUUGUAACGAACUCAGAUUCUGAGGCAGUCAUUCAAGCAGCUGGUACUGUUCCUGGCUCCACGGUGACUAUAAAAACGGAAGAUGAUGAUGAUGGCAAGAGCACAUCUGAAGACUACUUAAUGAUAUCUUUGGAUGAUGUUGGAGAAAAACUGGAUCAUAUAGGAAGCACUCCCUUGAAAAUCAGUACUGAGGUGGCAAAUGAAGAAGUUGCUAAAGAUGAUGGGUUUGGUUCAGAAGUUAUCAAAGUGUACAUAUUUAAAGCUGAAGCUGAAGAUGAUGUCGAAAUAGGUGGAACAGAAAUUGUCACAGAGAGUGAUUUUCACAAUGGACAUUCAGUAGCUGGAGUAAUUGAACAAGGUGGUGUUGGUAGAAUGCAGCGAGAAAAAAUGGUUUACAUGGCUGUUAAGGACUCUUCUCAGGAAGAUGAAGAUAUUAGCUGUGCUGAAAUAGCAGAUGAAGUUUAUAUGGAAGUUAUUGUAGGUGAGGAAGAAGCUACAUCACUUCCAGACACACAGCUUGAAGACUCUGGUGUGAAUAAAACUUUUGUCCCUGUUGCUUGGGCUGCUGCUUACGGAGAUGAAAGACGACUACCCAGAAGAUAUGAAGAUGGUCAAGCGGCAGGGAAUAACUUGGAUACACGAUUAGAAAACAAAAACGGUAAUGCAACACAAUACCUGCAGAUUUGUGAUAGCAUUAGCACUAAUAGAGUGCUAAAACAAAAAAACAAGAAAAGGAGGAGAGGAGAGGCCAGGCAAUGGCAAACAGCUGUUAUAAUAGGUCCUGAUGGACAGCCCUUAACAGUUUACCCUUGUCAUAUAUGUGGGAAAAAAUUUAAAUCCAGAGGAUUCUUGAAAAGGCAUAUGAAGAAUCAUCCAGAUCAUAUGAUUAAGAAGAAAUACCAGUGUACAGACUGUGACUUUACAACUAACAAAAAAACGGAAGGAGAUUCUUCAUAGCAGACUGAAGAUGAUCGUUCUGCCUCUGUGACCAAGCACAGAUCCGUGCUGGCUCAUUUUUCCAGCUUAAGGAUGGAGAGAAUAACCAGUGGAACAGUGAAAUGGACAGUGAAACCUAACUGGGAAGAAACAUUGUGGGGACAAGGUCUGUUGAAGAGAGAAAAAUAACUCACACAGCAUUAAGGUUAAUGUAUUGCUAUCCAUAUGUUGUUGGACUUUAAACAGUGUCAAAAAAUAAUUGUCAGACUUCUUGCUUGAGCAGUGGUUUUAGAAUUCAGUAGCUAAUGUCACUAGGAGAGUGUAUGCUUCUGCUUGGCCCUUUGCUGGUUCUGUCCAGUGCUGGUUAGGUAGAUGUUGAUGACUGAGCCUGGACUUGGGUAUUUUUCUGUAGUUUGAAAUCCCCAUCAGUGCUUCUGCUUCUUCUAGAACUGUUGUCUUCGUAGCUGCAGAUGUUGAAGCUUCUUGUAAUUGUCUUCCCAAGUUAGAAGGGGAAUAGGCAAAGAAGGGGUGUUGGAGUUAUUAGGAGGGCUUUGGUAGUUUAAAAAAAGAAAAAGUUGUGGUGGAUGGAAAGAAGAAGGAAUCACCAAAACCAAGCGUAUGCAGUGUGUUGCUGAUGUGAUGUUGGGGCUGUGGAGGAAAAGAUGUAGAAGCUGGGUUUAGGGAGAAUAAAGGAAUGCAGAAGCUGGACAAGGAGAAACCCGAGAGGAAGUGGUAGUAUAUACAGUGCUCCUAUUUCGUGCAUGUUGUUUGAGUAAUGUAGGGUAUUUUUAUAUAUCACUUGUGUAGGUAUUCUCCCAACAGAAGGUAGGAUUCUGGUAGAGCCUCCCCUACUUCCCACUUCCUUACACCCAUGUUUCCUCAUUAUUAAAUAAUACUUCCCCCGUAUUAUUUCUGUAUUAGCACUAGUGGUUGAUUGGUCUCCUCAGCAUAAGCUUUUACCUAAAAUGUAAGAAGAAAAAUCCACCUGAAUCCUCAGCAGCUCGAGGCAGUUCCUAAAUUCUUCUCGGUGUGCUUUCCCAGUAAAUAUUUAAGAGAACUUGUGAUGGCUGUGUUACUUUUACCGUGGAGGUGUCAUGAUUUUAAAAAUGCAUUGUGUCAAAUCACAGUAAAAUUCUUCUGUCUCAGUACCUCUGCAGAUCCCUGCUCUGCGUAGUCUGUAACUCUGCCCUGACUGGCUCCCUCCCCUGAGCUGGCAGCAAACCGCCUUCCGUUUACCCAGACCGAUACAACCUUAAGAUGGGACGAAGUGCAGACAGGCCCUGCCUAUUCAUUUUCAAAGCAGAUGAGUUCCUAAGUGGUAGCAGGAAGUGAGUGAAGGAGAGACACUGCCACCUGUAAGCUUUGUAAGUCUUGUGACUAAAUGUUUCAUUCAACGGUAGAGUUGGUGGUAUCAUACUCUAUUACUUCUCCUGCAAACCCUGAAUGAAGUCUCCCAUCGCUGCUGUCAGGUUGCACGGUCUCUGCUCUUUUAGAGGUAGUCUUCAGUAGACAUGAUCAUCUUCCGUGCCAUACAUCCUUUCCUUAUUGAAGUUCACCUAUGUCUUGCCUUUUGCCAUGCUUUCAGUAAGGGCUGUGAGCUGUUUUGAAAAGAGGAAAGGUUUGUGCUUUUCAAAUUGUUGCAAAUCUCCUGUGCAGGGACACUAACAAAUAGGAGGAAGUACCUUUCCAAGCCUUUGUGGUAGGAUGCCACCCAAAACACGAUGAGUAGGAAAGGUGACCUGUGCUGUAAAGCUGUUUGCCGCCUGGGAGCACAACACCGAGGUAGUUCAGCUGUUCUCGACUGUGUGUGGAUUUCUUCUGUGCUUGCUUCCUGUGGUGAUGUGCGUGAUGUACAAACACGUCAUGUUCGCUUGAGCAAGCAGCAGGUUUCAGUACAUGUGGAAGGGUUGCUCUGAGUGUCAGAGUUGUUUACUGCAUUUCUUUGAAUGACAGACUAAGAACUAAAAGGUGGAAACAGUUAAAAUUAAUUCAUGUCUGAUUCAUCAUCUGUAUUGUUUUUCUUCAGGUUUCAAAUAACCACAAUUAAAGGUAAUGAAAUUGAGAGAGCGAGAAUAUGGAAGGACACCAGCAGCGCAGUCUCAAGGUAAAGGUCAAGGUAAAGGUAUGUUACCUUGAUGUAGUAUUCAAAGCCUAUGUUGACUUUUCAGGCAGAAUGCUAGAGGUGUCAUUAACUUUUAAACCAGGACUGUAUUUGGCUUUUGUUUCACAGCUGAGGCAGAAGAAACCAUUCCGCAUUACAUAGUUGGGUGGAAAAAAACAGUAACAGAAACCAGAAGACAGCUUUUUUUCUCCUACCUUUCGAUGUAAGAACCAGAAAUUGUGUGCUGUCACCUCACUUCAGGCAGUGAGGGUUAAUCCUGUUGAUAAUUUAACAGGGCAGUACGUUCAUUGCUGUAAAUACAUGAAGUAAAUGCUGUCUUUGAUUUUUCUAAUUUGCUUCUGCAAAAAUGUAGAAAUAUCAGUGGAUAUACCUGAAAUCGAGGUGAAAAAUUUUCUGAAGUAUACUGUUUGUAGUUUGAGCGUUAACUAGAAUGUACAGAGAUGAGUAAGUGAGAAAAGUGCAUUGCUGUAAACUCCAGAAGAAAUGUUAGGUCAGUCAGUUUCUGUUCAAUGGAAGAGAGGCAGCGGAUGAGACUACAGCAAAUACCAUAUAUUUUUAUAAUAAAAAAUAAAAAUUCUGCUUUUUAAGUAAGUCUGGUUUUAAAACAAAACCAGCUUCAAAUGGCCACUAUGCUUCAUCUUCUAGUCUAGCUCAGCUUUUUGACAAGUAUCUAUUGCGUCGUGUUUUCUGGGAGUAAAGUAUGUUGUUACAGCAAUCAGUGCUGUAGCAUGUGCAGUAUAGGGCGGUUUUAAAAUAGUCUUAUAAGCCUUAGGGCAGCUGAUCCUUGCUACACAAUAUAAUAUUGGCAUCUGACUUUCCUGGUUAGUGAACUAGGCUUUUUUUUUUAAAAUAGGCUGUUAGCCACUAGCAUGGGGAACAAUUAGGGUGUUUUCAGAUCUGUCUUAAUGCCAGUUGUAUAUGGGAGACAGUUCACUUGCUAAUCAUGGCACUUGUCAUCAAAUUACAGUGCCCAACCAGCUCUGACUGUAUUCAGAGCCUGUACUUUUUCCUGUCUUUUAAGGGCGUUUACUGCUUUGCUUAUGCUAUUACACAGUCUGAAGUCAUACGGAGCUAAAGAAACGGUUUAAUAUUAUUUGCUAGAAAGAUUAGUAAAUACACUGAAAAGAGUGUAAAGUAUGUCCACUAAUAACUGAUGGUUCUGCUGUUCACAGCUUCUUUCUUUGGAACUGUUUGUAUAAUGCUUCCAGCCAGUCAAGCCCAGCUGCAAUCAUGGCAAAGACCACAAUUGCUGCAAGUGUGACUGAAGAACAGAUGCAGAUGCUAGUCCUGUCAAGAACAGCAAGUCCACGACAGCACGGCAUACCCUCCUCUUCUGAGAGAAAAGAUUUCUGGAACACCAAACUGACAUAGCAGACAUAAGGCCAAUACCUUCCUCCUAUCUUUUCCACAUGCUGUAGUAAACAACUGUACAGGUCAUUGGUCUUGCGGUUCAGUUCGGCAAGGAGCUCACCAAAG
Molecule: RNA transcript, 5264 nt
Organism: Cygnus olor (mute swan)
Lineage: Eukaryota; Metazoa; Chordata; Aves; Anseriformes; Anatidae
Gene: ZNF711
Gene name: zinc finger protein 711
Exons: 14
Source: RefSeq, a predicted model, not a curated record